This is a non-coding RNA of Ceratotherium simum simum (southern white rhinoceros), 137 nucleotides long. NCBI's taxonomy places the organism in Eukaryota, Metazoa, Chordata, Mammalia, Perissodactyla, Rhinocerotidae. The record is from RefSeq and is a predicted model, not a curated record.
GCAAUGAGAAACGACUGCAUAGUGGGUACAGGAUUUCCUUUUGGAGUGAAGAAAAUGUUGUGGAACUAGAUAGAAGCAGCAGUUGCACAACACUGUGAAUGUACUAAAUGCCACUGAAUUUUUUUUUUUUUAAUGAA